Molecule: unclassified non-coding RNA, 267 nt
Filed under: Hevea brasiliensis (rubber tree)
Lineage: Eukaryota; Viridiplantae; Streptophyta; Magnoliopsida; Malpighiales; Euphorbiaceae
Source: RNAcentral
CAGGUUAAACUGUUUUUAGUUUUUUUAUCCACAAAACACAAUUGUCAUUUCUUUCUUCAUCUUACUUUACUGUAGUUUUACAGACUUUAAAAGCAGACGUGUGUAAAUGACAAAAAAUCAUCCAGCUCUGUAUCUUUGAAUAUUUCUGAAGUUAGUGUGUUUUGUGUUUUUACCUGUUAUAUGUAUAUUUUUGUCUUUCAGUCAUUUGAACAAAUGCAGUCUCAUGAUACUGCCCAAAAUAAUGGGUGCAGCGUCACCAAAAUGCUG